This 774-nucleotide long non-coding RNA is filed under the name Sorghum bicolor (sorghum). Its description in RNAcentral is "long non-coding RNA (SBIC_LNC006926)". The record is from RNAcentral. Lineage: Eukaryota; Viridiplantae; Streptophyta; Magnoliopsida; Poales; Poaceae.
CUCCAAGGCAAGUGAGUAUGCCUUCUCUCUGCUCACCCUACUUCUAAUUGGCUUAUGUGGAGCUCAUAGGUGGGAAAGACUAUUCAAACCUACUUACAUAUAUUGCAUAGUUAAACCAUAGAUCCAGAGGAACUAAUUAUACAAUCAAGUCAUAUGUGCAUAUGAGGGAAUGAAGUGAAGUGAUAAGAAUGAAAGGGGUUAUGAGGGGUGAUAACUCAUGGUGAAUAUCUAAUUCUACAAUUGCUCCUUGGGGAUAAUAUACCUCCCUAAUCUGAGAAUAAGGACUUGGUUGUCUUUCUUUUCUUUUGCAUUGGGACUUUUCUCCUCUUUCUUUCUUUUCUAUUUUUUUUAGAGAUCAGCCAUCCCUUCUAAUGUACUAAUAACAAUAGGGAGUAUCAACUGAAAUAACUAGAGCUUUAUUGGAUAAGUAGAAUAAGACAUAAUGCGAAUGGAUAUUUUUGGGUAUUCCCUCUUAGUUUCAGAGUAGAACAUUUUUAUAAGUGGAUGUGAAAUGUAUAUGGUUGGAUGAAGGAAUGCGUACUCCCAGGAUAGGAGCAGCAUCAGUGCAUGUCUCUAGGAUAGAAACGGCACCGAGUGUAGUGCGUAUAUGUGGGUGUACUUCCAGGAAUAGAAGUAGCACAUAGUAAAUGUGGUGGAUGUAAGUGGUUGCAUACUUCUGAGGACAGAAGUAGCUAAGAUCAAUGGAUGGAGAGCACAUAAUAUUGACUUUAACUACAUGACUAGUUCCUUAGGGUCUACACAGCUUAACUACCC